GUGAACUGCGUAUGUAAAUUGACAAAUAUGGAGCAUUAGAGAAGAAACAAAAACACACUAACAAAAAUCAACCAAUAAAUUCAAAUCACUCAUAUCCCAUAUGUGAGAAUCAUGACUACUGCCGGGAUACUUAGCACAAACGUAUGGCUGGUGGACAUGUCAAUGGAAAUCUAUCUCAAGAAUGUUGAGUACUUCAUCUAAUACAACACAAAAUAUCGAUUGGAAAAUAUUUAUAUUGAAGUCCUUUGCAAUACAAUGUUGAUAACUGCUUUUGGCUAAGGCUCUCACUUAAA
Molecule: long non-coding RNA, 293 nt
Organism: Bactrocera latifrons
Lineage: Eukaryota; Metazoa; Arthropoda; Insecta; Diptera; Tephritidae
Exons: 2
Source: RefSeq, a predicted model, not a curated record